UCUCGCGUAAGCAUGAUGUGUGCAUGAAAAUCUGGCCACAAGCAUUUUCCACAACGACUUCCAUUUUUUAGCGUCUUUAGCUAGACAAAAUUUAAAUAAAUUAAUAAAUCUAGAUCUACAUCUAACUCACAUAACUAUGGCAGAAACAAAAAUAGAACGGCCAAGAUCUAGGUCAAGAUCUCGUUCUCCAGUUCGUAGAUCUCGGUCAAGAUCCCCCAGAAGAAACAGAAGUGACCGCCCAAGACCAUUUACUGGAGGCAGACGUAUAGUUGUUCGUAACAUUCCUUAUGAAAUCAGAUGGCAGGAACUUAAAGACAUGUUUAGAAAAGACAUUGGAGAUGUCACAUAUGUGGAAAUGUUGGAAACACCAGAUGGUAAAUCAAAGGGUGUUGCAGUGGUGGAGUUCCGAGAUCCAGAUCAUGCCAAAAAAGCAAUUGAAGAAUAUCACCAGAAAAAAAUCAAAGAUCGAGCUAUUAUAGUUAGAGAGGAACGAGAAAAGGACCGCCAAGAAUUUAUGCAACAUCAAAACAUGCGUGAAAGAGGUGGAAUGGAUUCUGGCAUGGGAUGCCCUCCUGGAAUGGGACCAGUUGGUAUGGGUGGUGGUGCUGGUGGCGGCUUAGGUCCAGUUGGUUUGCCCCCUGGCAUCAAUCCACAGAUUCUUCAACAGCUAGGAAUUGAGCCACCAAUAACAAACACUGUAUUUGUUGCUAAUUUGGAUUAUAAAGUAACUUGGUGGAAAUUAAAAGAUGUCUUUAAACUGGCUGGAAAUGUAAUCAAGGCUGAAAUCAAAGAAGAUAAAAAUGGAAAAUCAAGAGGAAUGGGAGUAGUUGUAUUUGAACAUCCAAUGGAAGCAGUGCAGGCAGUCUCUAUGUUUAAUGGACAAGUUUUAUAUGAGAGAAACAUGAUUGUCAGGAUUGAUAAAGGAAGAGAACCGGAGAAACCAAAAUUACCAAGUGGCCUAAAGUCUAUUGGCAUGGGCCUUGGUUCAGGCGGUCAGCCUUUGACUAACAUAGCACAGUUGGGAAAUGGAGGAAUGGAUCCUUACUACAAACAAGAUCUGGGUCUAGGGGGUGGUGGAGGCUUAAUGGGAAUGGGUGGUUCAGGACUUGGCCUUUUGGGUUCUGGAAUGGGAGGACCUGACCUAGGUCUAGGUGGUCUUGGUGGCCUUGGGGGAUUAGGAGGAAUGGGUAUGGGUCUUGGCUCUGGAUCUGGGUCUGGUGGAAUGGGACUAGGUGGUCUUGGUGGUUCAGAUAUUGGGAUUGGUGGGGGUUCCAAGAUGGGCAUGUCUGACAAUUAUUCCAAUAGUUAUGCUAACAUGGGCAGUUCCAGCUUUAAUGGCAACAGCAGUUUGUCAGGUCUAGGAGGGUUAGGCCCAAGCCUGAGUACUUUGUCAGCAGGUCUAGGUGGACUGGGUGGGACAGGUGACAGGUUAGGUCUUGGUGGUACUGACAGGAUGGGCCUGGACAGUAUGGGACUGGGUAGAGACAGAAUGGGAAUAGAUAGGAUGGGUGUUAUGAAUGAUAGGAUGGGAGGAUUGGGGGAUAGAAUAGGAGUAUUAGGGGAUAGAAUGGGAGGAAUGGAUAGAAUGGGAGAUAAAAUGAGGGAUAACUAUGGUGGAGGAAGUGGACGGGAAUUAAGAGACAUGCGAGAAGAUGGCGGAAGAAGAACCACACGUCCUGACAACUGCACAAUCAUGGUUAAAAAUUUACCAUACAGUGUGAAUUGGCAAACAUUGAAAGAGCAUUUCCGUGAUGCAGGUGAUGUGAAGUUUGCUGAAAUUGUUAUGGAUAAAGGAAGAUCUACUGGAGUUGGUUAUGUAAGGUUCAGUAAUGAAAUUGAUGCACAAAGAGCUAUAAGUUUGAAAAACAAAUCCAGAAUGGAAAGACGAAAUAUUGAUGUUUCUCUUCAUCGGAACUGAUUGCUAUCCAGUAAAAAUGGUUGGUAUAAAAGUAUCCUGGUGUCCCUCCAUGUAUUGAGUUUGUAAAUGUGACAUUCAAACAUCAAUGACACAAGAUCUAUGAGAACAGUUUCCAGGAUCGUCACAAUAGAUUGGCGAUUACUUCGUCAGACCAGAUGCUACAAGCAAAUACUGAAAAAUUGCUGUCAGUGACAUCAGUGGGCCACAACAUUUUGGCUAUCAUUUGACAGGUCUCAGUUGCCAUGAAAGAUAUACAAGAAAUAAAGCAAAUUAAAUGUGAACAUAGGAUUUUGUUUUCUUUGAAAUAUUUUUAUAUGAGCUGGAAUGCUUUAAAAAUAUUUAAAGUCUUUUUAAAAUGACUAAAAAUGUUUAAUAAAUAAAAAUCAAUUAUUAAAAAGUUAAUUAGAAGUAGAAAUAAUUGAUAACACCAUUUUAAAAAUUUAAUUCCUAGUAUUAUGAAACAUUUUCUAAAUAUGUCACAUUAAAAUAUUUGUGAUGGUUUCAUUAAUUUUUAUUUUAUGCACCCUCAUAGUACUUUUUAGAUCCAAUACAUUACAUUUGUACUGAAAAUUACUGAGUAAAUAUUCAAAAUAAUUAUAAGUUUAUUUUCAACUUGGCAACUAGAUCUAGUUUCCUGCUGGAGACAAGACUUCUUCAUUAAAAAAAACUUUCAUAUAAUUUGAUCAUCAACAAAAAAUAUUUUUUAAAACUCUUUGAAAAUAUCAGAAUGCAUAUCAAAUUGUUCAAGUUUAUUGAUAGAAGAUAGUUACACCACUACAUGGUGAAUGGGGAAGUUGGCUUGGUUGAAAAUGGAAUUGCUAAGGUGAAAGAGUUCUUGUGUCAAGGUUUUUUUUAAAUCUUCACUGUUAAUAAAUUGUGCCCCAAAUAAUAAUUAAAAUCUUUAAAAAGUUUUCUUUACAAUGUUUUUCUGGAAUAAGUGUCCAGCUGAAGCUUGUUUGUCACCAAAUAUCUUCUCAUUUCAUCUAGCUCAGUGUUUCCCAAACUUUUGACCUAUGUGCACCACCUUCUAGAAUUUUCAUAACGCUGAUUACCCCCCCCCCCCCUUUUUUUAAAAAAAGGAUUUAUUUUAAGUACAAUUAAUUUUUUUUUUUGUAGGCCUAAAUACACAAGAUAAUGAUUACUCUAUCACAAUGAAAUAUUCAAAAUAGUUUGUUUUUUUUAUGCUUCGGAGACACAUCCAAUACAUUCUAAAAAAAAACAGUUGACGGAAGUUGUAACAUCCCUAUCCAUUUCCGGAUCUUUGUAGAACUUUGUCUUUUUCAUCAUCAUCACCCCAUUGAGUUCCUCAUGGAACAUAGGGCCUCGACAAAAACACGCCACUCUCCACGGUCUCUUGCAAGUAUUUUAAUGGCUCUCCAGCUCUUUCCUGUCUUAUUGGCUUCAUUUAGUAGGCUACACUGUGUCGCCACGUUCUUUUUGGUCUUCCUCUGCGUCUUGUUCCCUGGGGGUUCCACUCUAAGGCCUGCCUAGCUCUGUUGCUGAUAUCUUUUCUAAGGGUGUGACCAAUCCAUCUCCACUUCCUCUCUAAGAUCUGCACUUCUAAAUUUUUGUCCACUCAUCUCCCACAGUUUGGUGUUUUCUACUUUGUCAUACCAGUGUAUUUUUAGGAUAUUUCUCAGGCAUGUGUUGAUGAAGGUCUGAACUUUGUCUUAACAUGUAAAAAAAGCGCUGUAUUUGAGUUUGGUGAAAACAUAAACUAAAUAAAUAAUAAAAACAAUUUAAAACUUAUGAUAUUUUAUUCUAAUUUAUAAACCAACUGGAUAUUUAUUUUUCAAAGAAUCAGCAUAGUUAGCUAUGUGCAACACGUUCCCCUUUAAACUCUUCCCGCACCCCACUUUGGGAAACACUGAGCCAGUUGUUGAAUUUUUUUAAAAUUUUCAGAUUGCAGAAUGAGGAAAAGAUGGUGAAACUGAUUUUAAUUUUUAAAACAUUCUUUUUUUUUUGCUAACACUAAAGAAGACAUGAGGUAUUAGCCACUUAUAAUUUUUUUUUUUUUGUAAAGCUUAUUUAUGCAUGCUUCAUUUUUUGGUGUGUGAAGUUAUAAUUAAAGAACAAGAAUUUGUUACAGUAUUUUUCUUGGCUACUUUUUAAUUCAGAAUUCCAAUUAUGGUGGUACGUAUGUAAAAACAAAUCUUAGUUCAUUACAUAUGCAUGCCUAUGUGCAUUUUUUCAUUUAGCUUGUUGUACUGAGGGUCUACUUUCUGUCAGUACAACUUAUUUUUGGCAAAACCUUCCAGGAUUUGUUUUACUGAAGCAUUUGAAAUUUCUUGACAAAAUAAAUUUAAAAUAAAUACUCUUCUGUUGGUCUUCAAUUUAUUAUAUUUUUUUUAAAAGCUCAACAAGUGGAAGUUAAAUUAAUUUUUUUUUCUUUUUAAUUUGAUAAUUCAUUUUGCUUUUAAUUAUCUCUUACAAAUAUCAUGGCUAUCACAAAAUUUUAGUUUCUGUAUAUUAUUUUGGACUAAAAGUCAAGUGAAUAAAUAUUUUUCUAUUUUAAAAGGGGUAGGUGCCUUGCAUUCAAUUUUGUUUUGAUGAAAACUUGAGACUGUUGCAUUAUACAAUUCAAGAAAUGCUACAACAAAGUAUAUAAUUAAACUGCACUUUGUACUAAUAAGAUAAAAGUUUAAAAUAAAAUAAUUUAUACUCAAUGAAAAUGAAAGAGGUGUUUGAAUAUACAAAUAAUUUACUUCUUUUUACAAGUAUCAUUGUACAUAUUUAAACAGUAAAAAAAAACAACAAGUUGAAUAUUAGUCAUCCAAUAUUUACAAAAACUGUCAUAAAAAAUAUUUACAAUUUAUAUUGCAGCAAAUCUGAUUGUUUUAUGCUGGUGCUAAGCAUGUAAAUGUUUCUUAAUCUAGUACAAAUUUAAAAUGUCAUAAGGGAAGAAAGGUGAGUUUUUGUUGCAGGUUAGUAAAAACACAAAAGCACACAUCAACAUGAAACUAGUGAUUAGGUUUGUAGGCUAUUUUCAAACAAAUAGAAUAUUUUGUUCAGCUUUCAUGUAUGUGAUUUUAUGUAUGUGAUGUGCUUCCUAGAAAUAAAAAAAGAAUCAAAAUAUUUCUUUUGUUUCCUACUGAAAUAUUUGUUAAAGAAACACAUGUAAAAUGUGUACCAGUAUGCUUGAAAAUAUUCGUUACAAAUUUUUUCAAAAACUUCAUAAUAAGCUUUUAAAAAUUUAAAAACAUGAAUUAGUCUAACAACCAAACAAUCUGCCCCAGGUAGGUUGGAAGUAUGUAACUCAAACAUUACCACAUAUAAAAUCAUCUCUACCAUCAUAAGAACCAUUAACCAGAAUAUACAUGGUUGGCUGGAAGUAGACUGUUAUGGAGCGUUUGCAGAUAUGACCUGAGAAAAGGUGGGCAGAUGGUUUGGUUGUGUAGGCUAAAUAGAUUUUGAUGAAACCAUUAGGUGGCAUUUGUAGUUCAAGUUAUUAAAUACUGGUCUAAAAGUCGAAGAGGGGAGUACACGCAUAACGAGAGACGUAUGUCAGAAGGACAUGUAUUUUUAGUGAGUUAACAGAAUAUCUUGUUUAAAGUAUCUUAUCUAAUUUGUAUUCUUAUAUACAUCUAUAUUAAGUUGAAAGCUAUGUAUA
RNA transcript from Biomphalaria glabrata, 5528 nucleotides. It is a transcript of the gene named myelin expression factor 2-like, with no coding region annotated. The record is from RefSeq and is a predicted model, not a curated record. The transcript has 17 exons. Lineage: Eukaryota; Metazoa; Mollusca; Gastropoda; Planorbidae.